Triticum aestivum (bread wheat) is the source of this 134-nucleotide non-coding RNA. The record is from Rfam. NCBI's taxonomy places the organism in Eukaryota, Viridiplantae, Streptophyta, Magnoliopsida, Poales, Poaceae.
UUAGUACUCCCUCCGUCCGAAAAUAUUUGUCAUCAAAAUGGACAAAAAAAAUGUAUCUAAAACUAAAUUAUGUCUAGAUACAUUUCCUUUUAUUCAUUUUGAUGACAAGUAUUUCCGAACGGAGGGAGUAGAUG